Long non-coding RNA from Dermacentor silvarum, 443 nucleotides. RefSeq lists it as uncharacterized. The transcript has 3 exons. The record is from RefSeq and is a predicted model, not a curated record. NCBI's taxonomy places the organism in Eukaryota, Metazoa, Arthropoda, Arachnida, Ixodida, Ixodidae.
CUGCAAUUUACUGAGCACUUCUGAAUAGGGGACCCUCUGGAAACAACUAAGCGUCUGCUAUCCUUUAGCUUUACAGAAAAAUAACCAUGCAGCUGAAAGUGAUCCUUGUGGGCUUGGCCAUCUUUGGUCUUAUUGUGGCAGAGAGCUGUGCCAUGCCUGCCAGCAGCUCCAAUGAAGCCGAGGCCAGGGCUGAUCCCGAGACUGCAGAGCGUGCCGAGCAGAGCAACGCCGAGGAGGCACGUGUCGGCACGAAAUGCAUAGAAACCCUGUGCGGGUAGUAGCCCCAUGCAAGAGAGCGACACGUUCGAGGUGUCUCGUAACAGUCGCAUGAAUACUUGAAAAGUACUGGCACUGCCCAGCGCUCCACAUGUAAUCUUAGUGGAGAAUAUUGAGGUUAGGGCAUUGCUGUUGCGCUGCUCUUGUAUUUAAUAAAGUUAUAUAAC